CAGUAGCCGCGGGAACACGUAGGUGGCAAGCGUUGUCCGGAAUUAUUGGGCGUAAAGGGCUCGCAAGCGGUUUCUUAAGUCUGAUGUGAAAGCCCCCGGCUCAACCGGGGAGGGUCAUUGGAAACUGGGAAACUUGAGUGCAGAAGAGGAGAGUGGAAUUCCACGUGUAGCGGUGAAAUGCGUAGAGAUGUGGAGGAACACCAGUGGCGAAGGCGACUCUCUGGUCUGUAACUGACGCUGAGGAGCGAAAGCGUGGGGAGCGAACAGGAUUAGAUACCCGUGUAGUCCCUGUCUCUUAUAC
Molecule: ribosomal RNA, 301 nt
Filed under: uncultured bacterium
Lineage: Bacteria
Description: partial 16S ribosomal RNA
Rfam family: Bacterial small subunit ribosomal RNA
Source: RNAcentral